RNAcentral lists this ribosomal RNA (2273 nucleotides) under Graphis sp. AD-2009. Its description in RNAcentral is "partial 18S ribosomal RNA". It matches the Rfam family "Eukaryotic small subunit ribosomal RNA". The record is from RNAcentral. Lineage: Eukaryota; Metazoa; Mollusca; Gastropoda; Littorinimorpha; Eulimidae.
ACUCUGGUUGAUCCUGCCAGUAGUCAUAUGCUUGUUUCAAAGAUUAAGCCAUGCAUGUCUAAGUUCACAUUAAAUCAAAACGAUGAAACCGCGGAUGGCUCAUUAUAUCAGUCGAAGUUCCUUGAAUCGCCGCGCCUUCUACGGCGCUUAUUUGGAUAACUGUGGCAAUUCUAGAGCUAAUACAUGUCAGUGGAAGCUUGGACCCUCGGGUCGCCGGGGGAAAGAGCGCUUUUAUUAGAUUCAAAAUCAAUCGGCAUCGGCGUCGCCGCGCGCUCUCCCUCCCGGGUUGUGCGUCGCGGAUCAACGGCGUCUGCCGGCUUGCAUUCUUGAUGACUCUGGAUAACGAAGCCAAUCGCAUCGGAGUCGGCCCACAAAGCCGGCGGCGAUAGUUUUUACAAGUGUCUGACCUAUCAAAUGUCAAUGGUACUCGCUAUGGCUACCAUGUUUUUGACGGGUAACGGGGAAUCAGGGGUUCAGAUUCCGGAGAGGGAGCAUGAGAAAUGGCUACCACUUCCAAGGAAGGCAGCAGGCGCGCAACUUACCCAAUGCCGGCACGGUGAGGUAGUGACGAACAAUAACUAUACGGGACUCUUUCGAGGCCCCGUAAUUGGAAUGAGACAACUUUAAAUCCUUGAACGAGGAUCUAUUGGAGGGCAAGUCUGGUGCCAGCAGCCGCGGUAAUUCCAGCUCCAAUAGCGUAUACCAAAUUUGUUGCAGUUAAAAAGCUCGUAGUUGGAUCUCAGGCGCGGGCGUCUGGUCCGACUCGCGUCGGUUACCGGACGAGCUCGCCGGCGCGCCGCCCGUCUGUCCCGGUGCACUCCCGUCGUAGGUUCUUCGUUCGUAUCGGCGUUCGUCCGGGAGCGGAGGUUCAGGUCACUCGGUCGGCGACUUUGGAAACGUUCUAUCGGCCCCUCUUUACGNNACGGUUCGCUUCCUCGACCGUCCGUUCCGAGCCCUCUAUCCGUUUUCCUUGGCGGCGUCGUGCGUUCGGCCCCUGCGGCGGGCCCGGGUCAUCGGGCGGGUGGGCGCGUCGUUUUGCGACGUCCCGUCCUCAACGGAUGGCUCGCACUCCUCGGUGCUCUUUACUGCAGUGCCUUGGACGGCUUCUUGGAUUUUGAAAAAAUUGGAGUGCUCAAAGCAGGUUCAUUCAAAUGGCCUGAACACUAUCGCAUGGAAUGAUAGAAUACGACCACUGUUCUAUUUUGUUGGUUUUCGGAACCUAGUGGUAAUGAUUAAUAGGGACAAACGGGGACAUUCGUAUUGCGGGGUUAGAGGUGAAAUUCUUGGAUCCUCGCAAGACGCCCUACAGCGAAAGCAUUUGUCAAGAAUGUUUUCAUUAGUCAAGAACGAAAGUCAGAGGCGCGAAGACGAUCAGAUACCGUCGUAGUUCUGACCAUAAACGAUGCCAGCUAGUCAUCCGCGGGCGUUGUUCAAUGACUCCGCGGGCAACCCCCGGAAAACCAAAGCUUUUGGGUUCCGGGGCUGAUAUGGUUGCAAAGCUGAAACUUAAAGGAAUUGACGGAAGGGCACCACCAGGAGUGGAGCCUGCGGCUUAAUUUGACUCAACACGGGAAAACUCACCCGGUCCGGACACUGUAAGGAUUGACAGAUUGAUAGCUCUUUCUUGAUUCGGUGGGUGGUGGUGCAUGGCCGUUCUUAGUUGGUGGAGCGAUUUGUCUGGUUAAUUCCGAUAACGAACGAGACUCUAGCCUAUUAAAUAGUUCGGUUCCGCCUUCGGCUCGGGUCCCGGGCGCGGGUCGCGUGUCUGUCGGAGUUGAUGUGUGGGGGGUUGGCCUCUCGGGGUUCUUCCUUUCGCGCGUCUCUUCGUUCGGGCUCGCGUCCCCGCGCUCGGCCUGACACACUGGCGAACCGCUAACUUCUUAGAGGGACAAGUGGCGUUUAGCCACACGAGACUGAGCAAUAACAGGUCUGUGAUGCCCUUAGAUGUCCGGGGCCGCACGCGCGCUACACUGAAGGAAUCAGCGGGGUUAGCUCCCUGGCUCGAAAGGGCUGGGAAACCCGAUGAAUCUCCUUCGUGCUAGGGAUCGGGGCUUGCAAUUCUUCCCCGUGAACGAGGAAUUCCCAGUAAGCGCGAGUCACUAGCUCGCGUUGAUUACGUCCCUGCCCUUUGUACACACCGCCCGUCGCUACUAUCGAUUGAGCGGUUCAGUGAGGGCCUCGGAUUGGCCUCGGUCUUCGUGGUGGCCGGUCACAAGCCGGUUCGCAGCGAGGACUGUCGGGCCGAGAAGACGCUCGACCUCGAUCGCUUGGAG